AUGCACUGGCGCUGCCAUUGGCCCGCUGCCCGACCUGCAAGGAGAAGGUGCGCAUGUAUGUCUCCACAACAGAGAAGCACGAUGGAUGGGUGUUUUACAAGUGCCAGAAGCAUGGGGUCACUUGUGAUUUCUAGCGGUGGGAGUUGGGAGUAUGUUGAGCACCUAGUUGAGAAGCAGUAUCUCGUUGGUGAUGUGACGGUGGAUGCUAUUGGUGCGACGGAGGAACGCAGGGAGGAACUUUUGAAAGCACAAGAACUGUUCUAUAUGAAUGGGUUUGUCAGCAAUGUUAAGAAGGUUUUGAAGAAGAAUGACAGUAACAAUCUGAUGACCAGGCAGCAAGCUGUUGCACUUAUGAUGCUUGGGAGAGAGCUGGUGAUGCUCAUGAAGAUGUUGGUUGGUGUUGUGGUGGUGCUAGGUCUUGCAGCAUUGGUGGUGAUCAUGCUGAAGAAGUGA
Molecule: ribosomal RNA, 453 nt
Filed under: Triticum aestivum (bread wheat)
Lineage: Eukaryota; Viridiplantae; Streptophyta; Magnoliopsida; Poales; Poaceae
Description: partial small subunit ribosomal RNA
Source: RNAcentral